GACGAACGCUGGCGGCGUGCUUAACACAUGCAAGUCGAACGGAAAGGCCCUGCUUUUGUGGGGUGCUCGAGUGGCGAACGGGUGAGUAACACGUGAGUAACCUGCCCUUGACUUUGGGAUAACUUCAGGAAACUGGGGCUAAUACCGGAUAGGAGCUCCUGCUGCAUGGUGGGGGUUGGAAAGUUUCGGCGGUUGGGGAUGGACUCGCGGCUUAUCAGCUUGUUGGUGGGGUAGUGGCUUACCAAGGCUUUGACGGGUAGCCGGCCUGAGAGGGUGAGCGGCCACAUUGGGACUGAGAUACGGCCCAGACUCCUGCGGGAGGCAGCAGUGGGGAAUAUUGCACAAUGGGCGGAAGCCUGAUGCAGCAACGCCGCGUGCGGGAUGACGGCCUUCGGGUUGUAAACCGCUUUCGCCUGUGACGAAGCGUGAGUGACGGUAAUGGGUAAAGAAGCACCGGCUAACUACGUG
This 468-nucleotide ribosomal RNA is filed under the name uncultured bacterium. RNAcentral's name for it is "partial 16S ribosomal RNA". It matches the Rfam family "Bacterial small subunit ribosomal RNA", at positions 28 to 507 of the family's 1533-position model. The record is from RNAcentral.